This 440-nucleotide ribosomal RNA is filed under the name uncultured Rhizobium sp. Its description in RNAcentral is "bacterial SSU rRNA". It matches the Rfam family "Bacterial small subunit ribosomal RNA", at positions 338 to 795 of the family's 1533-position model. Lineage: Bacteria; Pseudomonadati; Pseudomonadota; Alphaproteobacteria; Hyphomicrobiales; Rhizobiaceae. The record is from RNAcentral.
CCUACGGGAGGCAGCAGUGGGGAAUAUUGGACAAUGGGCGCAAGCCUGAUCCAGCCAUGCCGCGUGUGUGAUGAAGGCCUUAGGGUUGUAAAGCACUUUCACCGGAGAAGAUAAUGACGGUAUCCGGAGAAGAAGCCCCGGCUAACUUCGUGCCAGCAGCCGCGGUAACACGAAGGGGGCUAGCGUUGUUCGGAAUUACUGGGCGUAAAGCGCACGUAGGCGGAUAUUUAAGUCAGGGGUGAAAUCCCAGAGCUCAACUCUGGAACUGCCUUUGAUACUGGGUAUCUUGAGUAUGGAAGAGGUAAGUGGAAUUGCGAGUGUAGAGGUGAAAUUCGUAGAUAUUCGCAGGAACACCAGAGGCGAAGGCGGCUUACUGGUCCAUAACUGACGCUGAGGUGCGAAAGCGUGGGGAGCAAACAGGAUUAGAUACCCCAGUAGUC